This 1753-nucleotide ribosomal RNA is filed under the name Hamiltonaphis styraci yeast-like symbiont. Its description in RNAcentral is "SSU rRNA". It matches the Rfam family "Eukaryotic small subunit ribosomal RNA". Lineage: Eukaryota; Fungi; Ascomycota. The record is from RNAcentral.
GUAGUCAUAUGCUUGUCUCAAAGAUUAAGCCAUGCAUGUCUAAGUAUAAGCGAUUAUACGGCGAAACUGCGAAUGGCUCAUUACACAAGUUAUCGUUUAUUUGAUAGCACCUUACUACUUGGAUAACCGUGGUAAUUCUAGAGCUAAUACAUGCCGAAAAUCCCGACUCCGGAAGGGAUGUAUUUAUUAGAUUCAAAACCGAUGCCUCCGGGCUCACUGGUGAUUCAUGAUAACUUUCGCGGAUCGCACGGCCUUGUGCCGGCGAUGGUUCAUUCAAAUUUCUUCCCUAUCAACUUUCGAUGUUUGGGUAGUGGCCAAACAUGGUUGCAACGGGUAACGGAGGGUUAGGGCUCGACCCCGGAGAAGGAGCCUGAGAAACGGCUACUACAUCCAAGGAAGGCAGCAGGCGCGCAAAUUACCCAAUCCCGACUCGGGGAGGUAGUGACAAUAAAUACCGAUACAGGGCCCUUUUGGGUCUUGUAAUUGGAAUGAGUACAAUUUAAAUCCCUCAACGAGGAACAAUUGGAGGGCAAGUCUGGUGCCAGCAGCCGCGGUAAUUCCAGCUCCAAUAGCGUAUAUUAAAGUUGUUGUGGUUAAAAAGCUCGUAGUUGAACCUCGGGCCUGGCCGGCCGGUCCGCCUCACCGCGUGUACUGGCCCGGCCGGGCCCUUCCCUCUGUGGAACCCCAUGCCCUUCACUGGGCGUGGCGGGGAAGCAGGACUUUUACUUUGAAAAAAUUAGAGUGCUCCAGGCAGGCCUUAUGCUCGAAUACAUUAGCAUGGAAUAAUGAAAUAGGACGCGUGGUUCUAUUUUGUUGGUUUCUAGGACCGCCGUAAUGAUUAAUAGGGACAGUCGGGGGCAUCAGUAUUCAAUCGUCAGAGGUGAAAUUCUUGGAUCGAUUCGAAGACUCACUACUGCGAAAGCAUUUGCCAAGGAUGUUUUCAUUAAUCAGGAACGAAAGUUAGGGGAUCGAAGACGAUCAGAUACCGUCGUAGUCUUAACCAUAAACUAUGCCGACUAGGGAUCGGAUGAUGUUAUUUUUUUUUGACUCGUUCGGCACCUUACGAGAAAUCAAAGUGCUUGGGCUCCAGGGGGAGUAUGGUUGCAAGGCUGAAACUUAAAGGAAUUGACGGAAGGGCACCACCAGGGGUGGAGCCUGCGGCUUAAUUUGACUCAACACGGGGAAACUCACCAGGUCCAGACACAAUGAGGAUUGACAGAUUGAGAGCUCUUUCUUGAUCUUGUGGGUGGGGCGGUGCAUGGCCGUUCUUAGUUGGUGGAGUGAUUUGUCUGCUUAAUUGCGAUAACGAACGAGACCUUAGCCUGCUAAAUAGCUCGCGCUGCUCCGGUAGCGCGCCGGCUUCUUAGAGGGACUAUCGGCUCAAGCCGAAUGGAAGUUUGAGGCAAUAACAGGUCUGUGAUGCCCUUAGAUGUUCUGGGCCGCACGCGCGCUACACUGACGGAGCCAGCGAGUAUUCCCUUGGCUGGAAAGCCCGGGUAACCUUGUUAAACUCCGUUGUGCUGGGGAUAGAGCAUUGCAAUUAUUGCUCUUCAACGAGGAAUCCCUAGUAAGCGCAAGUCGUCAGCUUGCGUUGAUUACGUCCCUGCCCUUUGUACACACCGCCCGUCGCUACCACCGAUUGAAUGGCUCAGUGAGGCGCCCGGACUGGCCUAAGGGAGGUAGGCAACUACCACUUAGGGCUGGAAAGCUCUCCAAACUCGGUUAUUUAGAGGAAGUAAAAGUCGUAACAAGG